GAAAUUAACAAGACUCUGUUGCAUCCUGUGAUCCAAGCUUUGCAACCUAUAGCAAACAUAACGGUUGAAAGCCAGGUUUUAUUCUACACGCCAAAGUCUUCUUUUUCGUACUGGGAUGAUAUACACGGAAGCCACAUAUUCAGUACCAAGGAUCUUCCUUUCUUUCUUAAUUCAAAUGAGUGGCAUCUAGAUACUUCAGUUGCAGCGGGAGGGAGAUCUAAAGUAUUGCAACUUGUGGUGUAUACUCUUCAGCUCAAUCCUAGAUUUAUUUACUUCUUUUCAUAAUCUAAGAAUUCGUUUCUUCUUUUACUUUUGAUAGCCUUCCUAGUGCUAGCAUUAAAUGAAAAAAAUUGAAAUUUCUUCUGUCUCAUUGUCUCUACUGCUAUUACAAUUCUCUAUUGUGAUUAGUUUGUUGAUUCUGAUCUGCGUUUAGACAGAGCUUACAUUAAAUGUUUCCUUGUAUAUAAUGGCAG
Arachis ipaensis is the source of this 473-nucleotide non-coding RNA. NCBI's taxonomy places the organism in Eukaryota, Viridiplantae, Streptophyta, Magnoliopsida, Fabales, Fabaceae. The record is from RefSeq and is a predicted model, not a curated record.